This 320-nucleotide ribosomal RNA is filed under the name uncultured eukaryote. RNAcentral describes it as "partial 18S ribosomal RNA". It matches the Rfam family "Eukaryotic small subunit ribosomal RNA", at positions 1470 to 1796 of the family's 1831-position model. The record is from RNAcentral.
UCCUUAGAUGUUCUGGGCUGCACGCGUGUUACAAUCGGGAGUACAACAAGAUUGCAAAUCCUAGUGGAUGAGUGGUUCUUCGAAAUUUUCUGAAGACUGGGAUAGUUGAUUGAAAUUAUUCAACUCGAACGAGGAAUUCCUUGUAAUUGUAAUUCAUUAUAUUGUAAUGAAUACGUCCCUGCCCUUUGUACACACUGCCCGUCGCUCCUACCGAUUGAACGAUCCGGUGAAUUAUUUGGAGUAGCUCUGGAAGUUGCAGAACUUCCUAUGUCACGAAAUUUUGUAAACCUUAUCGUUUAGAGGAAGGAAAAGUCGUAACA